CUAAGAAUAUUCCGCAAUGGGGGGAAUCCUGACGGAGCGACGCCGCGUGGACGAUGAAGGUCGGAAGAUUGUAAAGUCCUUUUAUACAUGAAGAAGAAGUUAUACAGGAAAUGGUAUGAUGGUGACGGUAGUGUAUGAAUAAGCACCGGCUAAUUACGUGCCAGCAGCCGCGGUAACACGUAAGGUGCGAGCGUUGUUCGGAAUUAUUGGGCGUAAAGGGCAUGCAGGCGGUCGUGCAAGCCCGGCGUGAAAGGCGGGGGCUUAACUCCCGAACUGCGCUGGGAACUGUAAGGCUUGAGUUUCUGAAGGGUAGUCGGAAUUCCACGUGUAGGGGUGAAAUCUGUAGAUAUGUGGAAGAACACCAAUGGCGAAGGCAGGCUACCGGCAGAAGACUGACGCUGAGGUGCGAAGGUGCGGGGAGCAAACA
RNAcentral lists this ribosomal RNA (427 nucleotides) under uncultured Treponema sp. RNAcentral's name for it is "bacterial SSU rRNA". It matches the Rfam family "Bacterial small subunit ribosomal RNA", at positions 355 to 774 of the family's 1533-position model. The record is from RNAcentral. Lineage: Bacteria; Pseudomonadati; Spirochaetota; Spirochaetia; Treponematales; Treponemataceae.